RNAcentral lists this ribosomal RNA (468 nucleotides) under uncultured bacterium. Its description in RNAcentral is "partial 16S ribosomal RNA". It matches the Rfam family "Bacterial small subunit ribosomal RNA", at positions 28 to 507 of the family's 1533-position model. The record is from RNAcentral.
GACGAACGCUGGCGGCGUGCUUAACACAUGCAAGUCGAACGGAAAGGCCCUGCUUUUGUGGGGUGCUCGAUUGGCGAACGGGUGAGUAACACGUGAGUAACCUGCCCUUGACUUUGGGAUAACUUCAGGAAACUGGGGCUAAUACCGGAUAGGAGCUCCUGCUGCAUGGUGGGGGUUGGAAAGUUUCGGCGGUUGGGGAUGGACUCGCGGCUUAUCAGCUUGUUGGUGGGGUAGUGGCUUACCAAGGCUUUGACGGGUAGCCGGCCUGAGAGGGUUACCGGCCACAAUGGGACUGAGAGACGGCCCAGACUCCUACGGGAGGCAGCAGGGGGGAGUAUGGCACAAUGGGCGGAAGCCUGAGGCAGAAACGCCGCGUGCGGGAUGACGGCCUUCGGGUUGUAAACAGAUUUCGCCUGUGACGAAGCGUGAGUGACGGUAAUGGGUAAAGAAGCACCGGCUAACUACGUG